RNAcentral lists this long non-coding RNA (11112 nucleotides) under Nicotiana benthamiana. RNAcentral describes it as "long non-coding RNA (NBEN_LNC022293)". The record is from RNAcentral. Lineage: Eukaryota; Viridiplantae; Streptophyta; Magnoliopsida; Solanales; Solanaceae.
UCUAUAGCAGAAGCCCCAACUUUCAUUUCAUUUUCCAGCAAGAGAUCUACAUAUAACAUCAGUUUCGCGAUGAGUACCUGGAAUUGGAAUUCAAAAUGAAGAAGAAGUAGAAGCAGUUAGCAACAAUCACUAACAGAACUCAAACGCAACCUAGAAAGAUCCAGCAGCCCAGUAAAUUGUAGAAAAACCAGCAUCAAUAAUAAACAACAAGAAUUGACCCAACAGAACUCGAUUUAAUCCAAAACAGCUUCAGCAAACCCAGAACUUAUCCAAAACUAGUUCAAAGAGAACCAAACUUGCUCGAAAUUAAACUAAUGAACAUCUACAAUUUCAUGAACUAGAAGAAUGGAAAUCAGCAAUCAAAAUUAAUUUGAAUUGUCCAAUGGAACAAUAUUUUUUUUGACUUUUAAAGGCUUUUCUAUUGUUUUUGUUUUGAAUUUUGAAUGGUAGUUUUCAGAUCUGGACAAAAAAUUGGAGCACACUGUUUUUGGGGGAAAUUAUAAGGCUCCAAAAGUUCUUCCCCUUUGUUAUGGCAUUGGCAUACCCUUUUAUAGGCAAAAUGAGGGCAACAUUUAGAUUUUGUGUUUGCCCUCUAGUCCUUUCUUUUAUUUUCACAAUAUUCUUCUACUUAUUGACCUGUUUCUAUAGUAAGUGCAUCUAUUUUUUAAAUUUAUAGUAAAAGUCCUAUUUUAGAAGGUUCUAGUGAAUACCAAUCAGUUUUAAAAGAUUCCUUUAUUCCUGAAUUUCCCCAAUUACCCCUAUUUAUACUAAGAUUUACUAAACUAAUCCAAAUGAAUUCAGCCUCCUUUUACCUUAGUUAAACCUAUCCACUAUAGCCAAUUUCCUAUGAGUAACAACUUAAUUGAAUUGAGCAUUACUGAUUGUCCUAACUAACUAAAUUGAAUUAUCUACAACCAAUUGAUAACAAACAAAAGAGGUACUAAGAUCAGAUUGAAGUUUAAACAAAUUCAAACAAGAUUGACUAAAACAGAUCAAACAAGAAAAAUAAUCUAGUAUUCAAACUAUUAGAUUCCCAAAUCUACAAACGACUCUAACCUACAAAUUGCAUCAGAACAGAAUCACAACAAGACAUUUGAUAAAAGAAGGACUAAGCAGAGGUAGAAAUACUAAUCGUUUUGUUAAACCAUAGUAAUCAAACUACACGAGUGAACAUGCAACAAGUAAAACCUAAUAUCUCUAUUGACCCAAACAGCCCCAAAUGAACACAGACUAAUCCUCAAUGAGUGAUUCUGAAAUAAAUCUAAAAUCUUAACUCAAACUUGCACAUGAAGGAGGAAAAGGAAAUGAACAAAAUGAUGAACUCACCAAUAAACUCGACAGUACAUGUUCAAAUUGGAACAUAGCCUGAGCAACUACUCGAAUUAGGGUCCUCCUAACCCCAAAUUUAAGGCCCGUGGGAUUAUGCAUGGAAUUGAGGGAUUCCGAUCUUUAAAUUCGUCACGAGGAGGUCUGAGAAGGCUCGAAGUGUGAAUUUUGAAUCCUUUUGAAGGCUUAAAGCUUUUUAGCAGUUUGACUGGAUUUUCAAUCCGGUAUUUGAGACGUUUGGAACCUAUCCGAAUCAUAUUAAGGAAGGAUUUGGGAGAGGAGAAUGAGGGGGUAUGGUGGUGUAAAUUUUGGGCCGUUUGGACAGUGUCGCCUCUGUGGGAGGCGGAGCUAACAAAUUUGACCAUUCGAAGGUCUGUGGUGGGAUUCGAACGGAGGUAAUGGCAGAUUCGUGGAAAGGAUGUCAAAUCAGUAUAGGGGUGUGAAGGGUAUUUUCAGACAAUUAUAUUAAAAUGGGGAAAGGGUUCCUGGUUGUUGGAUCAAAGAUAUUGAAGGGCUAGGAUUUAUCGACGCCCAAAAUAGCGUCGUUUGAUUUUAGCUGGGGGCGGACCGCGUCAAGGGGUUUGGGCCUGGGUCGUGGGAAGGGAAUUAAUUCCCUUGGGCUAGGGUUAUUGGGCCCAAAUGAGCAUCCCUUUCUAUCUUUUUUUUUUGUGUUUUUUUUUAUUUGUUUUCCUUAGUGUUUUCAUAUUUAUUUUUCUGAUUUAAUUAAAAUGUUAAAAAAAUAAAAAUGAAACCUAAUCUAUUUCCAACGUUAAGCUAAUUGAUUCCUAAAAUUGCUUAACAUCUAUUUCACAAUAAAUUCAAUAAUUAACAAUUAAAAGUGCAAAGAAACUAUUUUUGUUAUUUUCUUCAUAUUUUGCUCUAAAGAAAAUCAACCCCUAAUUAAUCCUAAAAUAUAAAAUUAGAUUCUAAAUGCAAACGUAUUUUUGUAUUUUUCAUAUGAAUAAAAAUGCACCAAUAAAAAUGCAAAUAAUUAACAAAAAAUGACACGAAAUUCAUAAAAUUGUAAAAAAAUGAAAAAGGUUAUUUUGUUUGAAUUUUUGGGAAUAAUUCAUAUAUUGGACAAAAAUCACGUGCUCACAGUUUCCCCUAUUUACUCGGAAACAUGAAAUGUUUUCAUGUAAAGAUAAGUGAGCGGAAAUGAGCGAUUUUUGCCCGUUCGAAUAUUCUUUGUGAAGCAUUUUUAAAAUUUUUUGACCGCACCCUCUUUUAGAGGUUGUCUACAUAUUCUGGCUAAACAGAAAUCACAUCAGUGUAGUUUGGGAGUGUCUAGUAGCUGAGACUACCAGGAGCUGUGAUUUCAUUGCGAUUGCUGCUGCUACUGCUCACUGACCUUCCUUAUUACACCAUGACAAAUAAAAGAAGCUAGACUAAGCUAUGAACCAUGAAUUAAAAGAUCCUAUCAAAAUUCUUCAACCUUGUUCUUGUACUUCCUUAUUGUCUUGUAUUCUCUUGGUGAAAUUCAUUCUUGUUACUUCAACUGGUCAACUGAGCUAUUGUUCCUUCUCUUCAAAUUACUAAACUUGAAUGUAUUCCUCUAUUAUAUGGGUGGGCUCUCAACUUCACAAAAAUAGACAAAACAAAGAAAACUUUCUGGCCCAGUUUGGAAAACUGAGUGCUUGUUACCAUGUAUUAAUAAGAAUUGAAAACUCAAACUUGAAUUGUGAUAAGACUGAAAUGUAAAUUUAAAAUUUUAAGACUGAAAUGUAUUCCCUGUUAUGUGGGAGGGCUAUCAACCUCAAAACUUGAAAAUUUAUAUACUGAAAUGUAGCUGUAAAAUUUGAAGACUGGAAUGUAUUCCUCUAUUAUAUGGGCAGGCUCCCAACUUCAACACUUGAAUAUUUAAAGACUAAAAUAUAAUUACAAAAUUUAAAGACUGAAAUGUAUUCCUCUAUUAUAUGGGCGGGCUUCCAACUUCAAAACUUGUAAAUUUAAAGACUUAAAUAUAACUUCAAAAUUUAAACACUGAAAUGUAUUCCUCUAUUAUAUGGGCGGGCUCCCAACUUCAACACUUCAAAAUUUAAAGACUGAAAUAUAACUUCAAAAUUUAAAGACUGAAAUGUAUUCCUGUGUUAUGUGGGCGAGCUCCCAACUUCAAAACUUGAAAGUUUAAAGAUUGAAAUAUAACUUCAAAAUUUAAAGACUGAAAUGUAUUCCUCUGUUAUAUGGACGGGCUCCCAGCUUUUAUAUUUAAACUUUAAAGACUGAAAUGUAUUCCUCUAAGUAUAUUUUACCGGACAUUAAUAAGAAUUCAGGCCCCCUCCCCCUUUUUGUUUUUUUUCUAUGGAUAUAUUUACGCCAAAUUGCGCAACUCAUGAUUAUUUUGAACUUAACUAAGCCACAUUUCUCAGAAGUUUACGGUCAAAUCUGUUUUGGUGCUUGCUCUUUCCCCUGCGAGAAGUUUCCCCGAAACAAAUGAAAUUUAUGCCCCUGUUUCAAUCAAAGAAAAAUAUUGUCAAUUUAAAGUGGUGGUUGGUUUGUGGCCUUGAACUUUGCGGCGAUUUCUAUUUAAAUUUCCGUGAUGUUUGAUUUCCGCUCGAAGACCCAACCUCUUUUCUGUUGUCCUCUCACAUACAAUACCCUUUUUUCUGUUCAAACUCAAUAUACUUUAUUUGUUGAACUGACGUCUUCCCAACCUUUGUGUGUCACAUGAAUCCCAAAGCACCUCCGUUGCCCCCACAGUAUGUUGUUGUUUCUUGGAAUAUAUGAUGGUCUUGUCCCUGAGGUCUGUUGCUCCCUUACUUCUUGAUAACUUUCAUUUCGAUUUGAAAACCCCACUAGUUUCUUGCCUAACCACUUCCAUUGUCACCCUUAUCAUAGGACACACCUCUUCUGCAUUCAAAACCCUAUACCUUCUGUUUGUCGCACUACUUCUGUAUUGACUUUAACCAACCCUUUUUCCUUAUGUGAACCCCAAAGCAUGUUGAUUGCCAUCUAUAGCAUGUUUUUCUUCCGAAUUGGAAUCCCUGACCUUGAAGUCUAUUGCUUUUUCGCUUGAUCCUUGUCACAUAAAAUAUUCUAUUCUUUAUUCAAACCCAAUACCCUCUAUCUGUUGCAUUGCUCAUGAACCGACAUCCACCAAACCUUUGUGUUUCACCAAGAUUCCCCAAAGCAUGUUGAUUAUUACCAGCUCAGUGCUCUUGUUGUUUUUCUUGACUUGUGACACUUUGAUGUGCUAGCCAGACCCUAUUUGUGCAAUUUGAAAGUUGCUGGCAAAUAUUGAAGUCAUUUCUCACUUGUUAUGACCAAACAGACCCAAAAAGGGGAAGUGAACAAAACAGAGUAACGGAGUGAAGGACACAUGAAAGAGAUGAUUCUUAAAGAGAAAACUGCGAAGUAGAAACCCAUCAGAUGUGGAUUCCAACUCUAAUGACCAUGACACACACAUGUAGAUAUUCUGCCAAUCAAACCUGAUGUGAUAGCUAAACCCCAUUUGUGCAAUUGGAAAGUUUGUGGUAAAUUUUGAAGUCAUUUCUCACUAGUUAUAACCAAUUAGACUCAGAAAGGAGAAGUGAAUAAAAUAGAAGAACGGAGCGAAGGACAAAGGAUAGAGAUGAUUCCUAAAAGAAAACUAACAAAGUAGAAACCAAUCAGAUGAGGAUUAUCAUGACAUGCACCUAUAGUUGUUCUGCCAAUCAACCUGAGGUUCAGCUCCUAUUGUACCCUUUGCGUUGUGAAACUAGGCUUCAAUGCUCCGCUUAUCCAAUCUGAUUUACAGUCCUUGUUCGACUUAUAGUGCCCAUAGGAUUUUCAUCAUCAACCCUCUCUCAUUUUGUUUUUUUGCUCAACUUUUCAUCGCCUCGAGGUGCCCAUGAGGGUUUGCACCAAUAAGAAUCUCUCAUUUUUAUUUUCUCGCAACUUUAUGACCAUGCGGUACCCAUGAGGGUUCUCAUCACUAAGAUUCUUUCACCUUUAUCUCUCAUCAGCUUUCAUCGCUUUGCGGUACCCGUGAGGGUUUUCAUCACUAAGACUCUUUCAUUCUCACUUUUCUUGUUUGGAUUGGAGUGUUGUCCCUGACAUGAGUUACCAUCACAUGCUUGAAUUUGCAUUUCUCAAAGACUGAUCGGAAGGUCUUCCUUUGGACUAUAAUGUGGGCAUUUGGGUAGGGUUAGAAAGAAAGGAUAUAAAGGCUCAAAACAAUUCUCAAUGGGGUUAAAACUAAAACUUUCGGAAUACGAUCUUUCACAACUAUCAUUACAUUCACCUAUAGUUGUUCUGCCUAUCAGACGGAUUUUUUAUGUUUUACUUGCCCCAGUUUCACAUGGUUCAGGCUUCAAAUGAUCUCAAAUUUUUCUUAUUUUCAAAAGUGUCCCGAUCAUCUCCCAAUGGCUUUAUGAUUAACUUUUAAGAUUAGGCCUAAACUGUGGGUGCAUGUCAUGUCACUAGAAUCGACAUUGAACAAAAGACAAAACAAAAGAUAAAAAGAACUAGACAAAGAAGGUGACUGGAGGUAACAAAAGACCGAAAUUUGUAUUAAACAAACGGUGAAACAUUUAAACAACAAAACAAACAGUUACAACCAUACUUAGAUAACACCACACGAGAUAUUAGACAAAUAAAGGGAUAGAAGGGUUUGAGUCACAAGACAAUAUCCGGAUUACAACCCUGAAAUAACCCGGAUAACUGAAAUGACAACACAAUGAACCACCAAAGCUCCUCCCGACUGACCCAGAAAUGGAGCGUCAUUCCAAUUACCAAGCACGACGUUUUUAGCCACUAAGCUUUGCAUCCAUAUUGUCAAGACCACUAUCUGCUUCAGUAUCUUCAACUUUAGUCAACAAGUUCCCAAGAGGAUUCUCAUACCCCAUGUAACUGGGCAUCAUCCCCACCAAGUGUGCCUCCUCAUGUAAAGGAUGCAGCGUGAUGCUCUAGGUGCCACUGUCUUGAAUCAAUUUUUCCUAGAUAAUCCUUUCUAUCUCUCUUUUCAAAUCCCGAACUAUGAUAUUCUGGGGGCCACUGUCUUGAAUUAAAUUUUCCUGGAUCAUCCUUUCUGUUUCUCUUUUCAAAUCCCGAAAAUUUUCCAAUUGUGCCCUAGAGCAUUGGAGUGAUAUUCGCACUUUUUAGAUGAGUCAAAGCUUCUCGUACGUUGGUCCACCUGAUUUGGAGGAAUGGAUGCAAUCAUGUCAUGUUUGUUUUAACUUCUCAAAUAAGCUUGCAUAGGACUCUUCUAUUAGUGUGAAUCUAUCAUUCAACUUUUGUUUCCUUCUAUACUUGGAUGUGGGUUAUAAGGUUCUUGAAAAAUUUGCGAAGGAUGGUGGAGAUUUUGUGAUGUUUGUGCGCGCUUUAUUGGGUGAUUUGAUGGCUGGGCAACAUACUGGGAUGGAUCAACGGAGUAUGUGGGGGGGAGGGGUUCUGAGGUGGAUAGUAAUGCUUAGGGGGGUCACGGAAAACCUAAUGAGGCUGUACAUACCUUCGAAAUGUACUCCUAGGACCUCUUCUGGACCUUGAUAUCAUCAUGAUUUCUUCAUCCCUCCCAUUCGAGUCACCAGAUUCAAUUUGGGCAGCCUGAGCUGCAUCUUUGAGAGUUGCUUGACUUUUAAUUCUGCUUGUCUUAAGACUGUUCUCUACCAUUUCUCCUAUUUUGAUUACUUCUAAAAAUAAUUUACCAACUGCAAACAUCAUAUUUUGAAAGUAAUCCGGCUCUUGAGCCUAAAGGAAAACAGUGACUACCUCGUGGUCAUCCAUGGGUGGAUUAGCUCGAGCUGCUUGAUGUCUCCAUUUAAUGGCACAUUUCCUGAAACUUUCACUUGAUUUAUUAUUCAGGUUUGAAAGGGAAAUGCGGUCUGGGGCAAUGUCAAUGUUUUAUUGGAACUGUUUGACAAAUGUCUGUGCCAUGUUAUUCCAGACGUACCAGCUAGAUGUGUCUUGGUCCAAAAACCAUUCAGAUGCUACUCCCGUGAGGCUUUCCCCAAAAUAAGCUAUUAGUAGUUCUUCAUUUCUUCCCACACCUCUUAGUUGAUUGCAAUACCUUUUUAGGUGGGUUAUGGGGUCUCCAUGUCGAGGGUACUUUUCAAAAUUGGGAAUCAUAAACCAUGCAAAAAGUGGACAUCAGCGAACAUACAUAGAUCUCUGAAGGCAACACUCUUUUGACCUGCCAUUGCUAGCGUGUUUUUUCAGCCAUUGUUCUAAUAUUUUCACUCUUUGGGUUAUUUCUUCCUGUACUCUCGUUCGGGCAGGAUUCUCAAUGUUUGUAGGAAGAUCGAAUGAGUACGAGUGGUGCUCUUACUGUGUAGCAAAUUGUGACUCAUGACGGGGAUCUCCUUGACCAUUGGCCCAUGUUUGAUGUAUUUUAGUCAUUUUCUAUUUCGGUGUUCUAUUUUCCUCAAACACCAUAGACUCUAGUUGAACCCUCUGUCCCUAAGUCUCUUGAGCACUUGCAACAGCUUCGAUGUCGUUUAUCAUUUUUCCUCAGAUCUUGUGUUUCCAGCUUACCACAACCCGACCACCUCAACUUUCUUCACAAUUCAAAACAAAACAUGUUAGAAUGGAUUGAGUCGGUCCUAAUUAUUCACAACAUCUUUUCCAAUUUAUUUUAUUUCUUUAUUCAAUUUUUCUUUUCUAUUUUUUUUAUUGUGGUCGAAUCUUAUGGAGAUUGCCUACGUAUCAUGAUCCCGCAUGAAUCAGACCGCGCGUAAUUCUUACAAAUAAAAGGUAAAAACAAAAAAUAUAUUUUGGGACUUUUCAAUUUUCAUAACAAAACAAACUUUGAUUACAAUGGUUUAAAAAUUGACAAACUUAAACAAAAAACAGACUCAAAAGAAAUACAAAUCCGAAAAUCAAACAACCCACAUACUCUAAUAGAAAAAUACAAACUCAAGAACCAACUAACAGAUUCUUUCCCCUACAUGCCAAUUUUAACCAAAUGGCUGUUUUUUUGCAAACGUGGCCCCUUCCCAAUUUCACAUGAAUUUUGAGGCAAAGGAGGAUUAUUUUAUGACAUUUCACAAACUUGUUCGUACUUUUACGAAAAUAACCUUUGAACAACUGAAAGAUACUCUAAGGCUAUCUUGGCAAGAACGGUUUAAGACACUACCGAAGAUGGCUCGGCUUAUUUUGACCAAAAUACAAGCGGUAUUCACUUGACCACUGACUCUUUUUCUUAUUUUUCAAAUUACAAAUAAAAGACCCAGUAUUGCAAACACGGCCUUUCAGCGCCUCGGGGACGAAAAAUUUAAGGUAUGUGGGUCAACUGGCCAAAACUGUAAAAAUGACCAAAGGUGGCCAUUAUACAAAGUCAGCCUUCUGGCGUUCCUUUCGGGAACAUUCGGCUACUUUUGGCGAAAAAGGCAUCACCCGACUUAUUUAUAACGAAAAUUAAAAUUUCGACAUUUUUUGGCUAUUUUUGGAAAGGGGAGGUUGGACCCGAUAAGGGUUGCCUACGUAUCUCACAUCCGGUGAGAAUCAAACCUGCGUAGUUCGAGCAAAUAAAACAACUAUUUUUGAAAACAAGACUCUUUUUUCUUUUUCAUUUUCAACAAAUAAAACGACUAAUUUUCCCCAAACUAAAAUAUAAACUCUUUUUCUUUUUCUUUUCAACAAACAACUUUCCAAAAAUAAAAGACUAUUUGUUACAUUUUCCUUUGCUUUUUAUAAAACAAACUAUUAAAAAUAAAACAAAAUUAUUAAAAAUAAAAUAUUUUCUUUUUUUUAUUUUCUCAAAAUUUUGGCAGAGUUUUGACAGUAUUUAGGCAUUGGUUUUUCUACAACUAAGCAAUUAACUCCCUACACUACUAUGUCUCUCUUUUUCUCUUUUUUUUCAAUUUCACAAUAUUCUCAAUAUUCAAAUACCGGUCAGCAUGCAGGUUCGUGACAAAUAAAUGCAUGGAAAACAAAUAGGAUGCAUCAGGAUGGUCUUUUCAUUCCAGAUUGCUAGUCCUAGACGGGCCCAACCCCUGUGUUGAGUCUAAGUAAAAUGCAACAUCAUGAGAGUAAGCGUUCCUACUAUGGAUCCGGCAUGAUGUCAUGUUAUUCAAGGUUCAAACCUGGGUAUGUGUUCUACACUGUGUACCCGAGCGAACAACUUGAGUCGAGGAGGGGGCAACUUACCGGCAACAAAAGGCCAUCCGGCUUCGUAACUUGUUCGGCCUCUUUCUUAUUUCAGGAUAUGACACUAACAGAAUAGGGAAUCUCAACCAAUAAGCACAUCCCCGGAGGUGAGAAGAGAAGGGUUUCAACACAGUUUAUAUAAAGUUCAGAUAAUAUCAAAGCGAUAACAUUUAAGAAAGUAAAUUAUUAAAAGCGCGCCUAAAGAAACUAUCGCGUUAUUAUCUUUUGGGGUAGGCCGUGAAAUUCGCUAAAUGGCCCUUCCCGAAGUGUAAGUAUUUUUUAUUAAUCAUUGACUGAGGGCCUCGCAAUUUGCAUUUUUAUUCGGCGAGGCUUGUCUCAUCAUUUUUAUUUAAAGGUCAAUCCUAAAGUAACUAUGAUUUUCUAUUUUUAUUUGUAUCUAUUAAUCAAGAAAAUAUCCUAAUCAAUUAUUAAUAUUAGUAAACCAGCCUUUGAAAUUGUUACACAUUCCAAAAUUUCCACAGCCAUGGACAUUGGGCCUGAAAUUUGCCCAAGCAAGUCAGCUGGUGUCUAGGGAGCAGCUGGUCGAAUCCCUGGGGUAGCAAUAUAAUGAAUUGUCAAAUGGCUGCUCACUAACUUUACCCAAACUCUCAUGAAUGGGAUCCACUCUUAUGAUAAAAGGAAAUGAAUAUGCAUUUACCUAAAUCAAUUAGAUACUGACCCUCAAAUCGUUCAAAAGAGUAAUUAUGUCGUCCUGAUUUUAAAAAUAAACAAACGUUCUAAUAAAUAUACUCACGCUUGCAAUUAUAAGACAAAUGUUAUACUUCCUAAUUGUUACACUUUUAAACAAAUUUAUAAACCAGCUAAUGAGAAAACACCUAAGACUAAAGUAGACUAUUAACUCUGACUACUGUAUUAUAAUUGUCAAAGCUACUGCAUUACGAAAUUACUUAAGACGCAUGUUUAGCUAAACAUAGAACUCGACGUGACAGCAUACCGAUUCUAGCUUGACUAUAAACUUAAACUUGUUUGUGAAUCUGAGUUUUUAAACAGAAAAUUGCUAAUAUGAACCAGUAUUAACCAUAUUAGAUCUGAGGCAAAAUAACUACAAAUCAACAGUCCAACAAUCUACAUAUUACAGUUCAAAUUGCUUACAUUGUAUAGCAAACCAGAUCACAUAAAUCUGCUAAAAUAUAAUGAAAUUCACUAACGACAGAUCUAUAGCAGAAGCCCCAAUUUUCAUUUCAUUUUCCAGCAAGAGAUCUACAUACUACAUGAGUUUCAUGAUAAGUACCUGGAAUUGGAAUUCAAAAUGAAGAUGAAGUAGAAGCAGUUAGCAACAAUCACUAACAGAACUCAAACGCAACCCAGAAAUAUCCAACAGCCCAUAAAAUUGUAGAAAAACCAACAAUAAUAAACAACCAGAAUUGACCCAACAAAACUCGAUUUCCAAAACAACUUAAGCAAACCCAGAACUUAUCAAAAACCAGUUCAAACAGACCCAAACUUGCUCGAAAUCAAACUAAUGAACAUCUUAAAUUUCAGGAACUAGAAGAAUGGAAAUCAACAAUCAAAAUUUACUUGAAUUGUCUAAUGGAACAAUAUUUUUUUUACUUUUAAAGGCUUUUCUAUUGUUUUUGUUUUGAAUUUUGAAUGGUAGUUUUUAGAUCUUAAAAAGAACUGGAGCACACUGUUUUUGGGGGAAACUCUAAGGCUUCGAAACUUCUUCCCCUUUGUUAAGGCAUCGGCAUGCCCUUUUAUAGG